RNAcentral lists this ribosomal RNA (406 nucleotides) under uncultured bacterium. RNAcentral's name for it is "partial 16S ribosomal RNA". It matches the Rfam family "Bacterial small subunit ribosomal RNA", at positions 30 to 526 of the family's 1533-position model. The record is from RNAcentral.
AUUGAACGCUGGCGGCAGGCCUAACACAUGCAAGUCGAGCGAGCGGCGGACGGGUGUGUAAAGUCUGGGAAACUGCCUGAUGGAGGGGGAUAACUACUGGAAACGGUAGCUAAUACCGCAUACCAUCAGAUGUGCCCAGAUGGGAUUAGCUAGUAGGUGGGGUAAUGGCUCACCUAGGCGACGAUCCCUAGCUGGUCUGAGAGGAUGACCAGCCAGGAUGUGACGGAGGCACGGUCCAGACUCUUACGGGAGUCAGCGGUGGGGAAUAUGGCACAAUGGGCGCAAUCCUGAUGCAGCCAUGCCGCGUGUGGGAAGAAGGCCUGCGGGUUUUAAAGCACUUUCAGCGGUGAGGCGUUACCCGCAGAAGAAGCACCGGCUAACUCCGUGCCAGCAGCCGCGGUAAUAC